This 582-nucleotide ribosomal RNA is filed under the name Pseudoalteromonas sp. RNAcentral's name for it is "bacterial SSU rRNA". It matches the Rfam family "Bacterial small subunit ribosomal RNA", at positions 356 to 930 of the family's 1533-position model. The record is from RNAcentral. Lineage: Bacteria; Pseudomonadati; Pseudomonadota; Gammaproteobacteria; Alteromonadales; Pseudoalteromonadaceae.
UGGGGAUAUUGCACAAUGGGCGCAAGCCUGAUGCAGCCAUGCCGCGUGUGUGAAGAAGGCCUUCGGGUUGUAAAGCACUUUCAGUCAGGAGGAAAGGUUAGUAGUUAAUACCUGCUAGCUGUGACGUUACUGACAGAAGAAGCACCGGCUAACUCCGUGCCAGCAGCCGCGGUAAUACGGAGGGUGCGAGCGUUAAUCGGAAUUACUGGGCGUAAAGCGUACGCAGGCGGUUUGUUAAGCGAGAUGUGAAAGCCCCGGGCUCAACCUGGGAACUGCAUUUCGAACUGGCAAACUAGAGUGUGAUAGAGGGUGGUAGAAUUUCAGGUGUAGCGGUGAAAUGCGUAGAGAUCUGAAGGAAUACCGAUGGCGAAGGCAGCCACCUGGGUCAACACUGACGCUCAUGUACGAAAGCGUGGGGAGCAAACGGGAUUAGAUACCCCGGUAGUCCACGCCGUAAACGAUGUCUACUAGAAGCUCGGAGCCUCGGUUCUGUUUUUCAAAGCUAACGCAUUAAGUAGACCGCCUGGGGAGUACGGCCGCAAGGUUAAAACUCAAAUGAAUUGACGGGGGCCCCGCACAAGA